AUUGAACGCUGGCGGCAUGCCUUACACAUGCAAGUCGAACGGCAGCACGGGAGCAAUCCUGGUGGCGAGUGGCGAACGGGUGAGUAAUAUAUCGGAACGUGCCCAGUCGUGGGGGAUAACGUAGCGAAAGCUACGCUAAUACCGCAUACGAUCUAUGGAUGAAAGCGGGGGAUCGCUAGACCUCGCGCGAUUGGAGCGGCCGAUAUCAGAUUAGGUAGUUGGUGAGGUAAAGGCUCACCAAGCCGACGAUCUGUAGCUGGUCUGAGAGGACGACCAGCCACACUGGGACUGAGACACGGGCCCCAGACUCCCUACGGGAGGCAGCAGUGGGAAUUUUGGACAAUGGGCGCAAGCCGUGAUCCAGCAAUGCCGCGUG
Molecule: ribosomal RNA, 376 nt
Filed under: uncultured bacterium
Lineage: Bacteria
Description: bacterial SSU rRNA
Rfam family: Bacterial small subunit ribosomal RNA
Source: RNAcentral